GAGGAAAAGAAACUAACAAGGAUUCCCCUAGUAACUGCGAGUGAAGCGGGAACAGCUCAAAUUUUGAAUCUGGCAGUCUUUGGCUGUCCGAGUUGUAAUCUAGAGAAGCGUUUUUCCGCGCUGGUCCAUGUACAAGUCUCCUGGAAAGGAGCAUCAUAGAGGGUGAGAAUCCCGUCUUUGACAUGGACUACCAGUGCUAUGUGAUGCGCUCUCAACGAGUCGAGUUGUUUGGGAAUGCAGCUCAAAAUGGGUGGUAAAUUCCAUCUAAAGCUAAAUACAGGCGAGAGACCGAUAGCGAACAAGUACCGUGAGGGAAAGAUGAAAAGAACUUUGGAAAGAGAGUUAAACAGUACGUGAAAUUGCUGAAAGGGAAACGCUUGAUGUCAGUCACAUCUGCCAGGGAUCAACCUUGCUUGUUUUGCUGGGUGCAUUUCUUGGUCGAUGGGUCAGCAUCAGUUUCGCUCGCUGUACAAUAGUGAAGGAAAUGUGGUACUCUAUGGAGUAUGUUAUAGCCUUUCAUCAUAUGCAGUGAUUGGGACUGAGGAACUCGGCACGACUUUGCUCUGUGUCUAGGAUGCUGGCAUAAUGGCCUUAAGCGACCCGUCUUGAAACACGGACCAAGGAGUCUAACAUGCCUGCGAGUGUUUGGGUGCCAACCCAGGUGCGUAAUGAAAGUGAAAGUCGAGACCUCUGUCAUGGA
Molecule: ribosomal RNA, 700 nt
Filed under: Aureoboletus roxanae
Lineage: Eukaryota; Fungi; Basidiomycota; Agaricomycetes; Boletales; Boletaceae
Description: LSU rRNA
Rfam family: Eukaryotic large subunit ribosomal RNA
Source: RNAcentral